Molecule: long non-coding RNA, 736 nt
Filed under: Anser brachyrhynchus (Pink-footed goose)
Lineage: Eukaryota; Metazoa; Chordata; Aves; Anseriformes; Anatidae
Description: lncRNA (ENSABRG00000006315.1)
Source: RNAcentral
GCAUCAAACUUCAUCCCCAAUUGCAUUUAUGGGUUGAAAGCACUUUCCAGAGCACUUGUUAGGGAAGGUUUUAUUCCUUCUGAGGUGUUUAGUGAUGAGAAAUGAGCUACUGGCCACUGUGCCCGUUUUCUAACAGAAACAAGCUGCCACAAAACCAGUAGUGAGAUUCCCAACUGAAUUGCUCUGCUCAAGUCCAGUUUUAAUUUCUGCUGGAGAAACGUGAUGCCAAGCCCUCAAACGGAUGAAAGAUGGGAGUGAAGGUCUUUGGAGUGGGGCUGAGCCCACCUGGUCCUUGGCUGUGGGGUUGAGCCUGAAGGCCAGUGAGCAGCAGGAGGAUGCUGAGGUACCUGCACAGCUCAGCAGCUGAGAAAUGUCUCUGAGACUCAAAGUAGGACCACGGGACAGAGAGGUCAUUGCAGGCACAGGCUUUUCAAGCUUCUCUAAGCACAUGGUUAAGCCUGGAUCAGUCCAAGGCUUGCUGCCUCUCCGGAAGCAAUAAAUCCAGAUAAAACCAGAAGGAGCUGGUGAAGCAACAGCAAUGUUUAUGGAGUAGUCACAUGUUACUGAGCAACGUAGACAGGUAGGAUUCAUCCCUGGUCAGUCCUCCCUUGCUGUUGUAUUUCUCCAGGGAAGUGUGUUUUACUCAUCCGCCUGUGGAGUCCAGCUAUUAAUAGGGUUCUGAAGUGCACCAAAUUGGCCAUUGGCAGUCCCAUUAAGAUACGUAAGUGCAUAUUAC